AUGAAGUCUUCGGCAGAGAUGGCAGCAGGUUUGCAAAGUUCCAUGGCCUCACCCACCAACCAGUAGAGCUAGUGAUGGGCAGAUGUGUGCAGCUACCAGCAAAAGGCAAGUUCUGCCACAAUGUUAGCUCAGGAGCUCUUCUUGAUGUAUGUCCUUUUUAAUAAGUCUUAAAAAGAAAUGCAUUUUGCAGGGUGCUGACCACAAGCAUGGAAAAACUGAGCAUGUCCACUCACACCACUAAUGAGAGGAGCACCAAAAAUUGCCAUGGCUAAUUGGAUUCACAGUCCAUCACUAGGCCUUCCUGGUAGGUCUUUAAAGCAAUGACCCAUUUUCAAGUCCAUCUGAUUGCUGACCUCCCAACCACUGCCCAUCUGAAGAAAGGAAAGCCAAAGAAAGCUGAGCAGAGCUCCCUGCAGGAUCCAGGAACAUCUGACUGAAUGGGCCAAUUUUAGGUGCAGUUGAGUGAGGUGGCAGAUGCCUUAAGAUCUUGGUUUCGUGAGACUUUGUGCCCAAGCAGAUGGAGGAGGCCCACGUCUUUACAGCAUGUGCCCUGUCAGCUACCAAAGAAUCAAGUUGUAAGGAACUGUCUGUCUUGAUAUCUGAGCUCACGUGUCAUCUCACCUGCCCAAACCAAACUACAGCGCAGCCACUUGAUCAGCAGAGAUUAGAAAUACGGCACCUGCCCAGGCUUCAUCUAGGGGAAGGCCCAGCUGGUCACAUAUUUAGGCCUGGACUUCGCUUGCUAAGGUAAAAAGGCCUGCUCAGGCUCUUAGCUGGUAUCACUCAAUGAUCUAACAACUCUGGCAUUGAUAUUUAGAGAGCCUCAGAGGGGUCUCUGGUGUUACCCUAAUGACUAACACGCUAACAGCUUUGCAGACGUGCAAGGGCAGUUACCUGCCUCAAAAGCACUCUGAAAAUCUGGCCACACGUGUCUUGUGGUAGGUGCCCAACAAGUAAAACACAAUUAGCGAAUGCUUUAGUGUCUCUUUAUCGCUAUACCACCACUGUAAAAGUGGGAUAAAUUACAUUUGGUGGAUGAAGAUAUAUUGUUUGGUUUAAAGUGGUAUGAGAUCUCUCUGUGAAGUUAUGUUAAAUUUGUUGUACCUCUUAGUAAGAGUGCUGGAGUUGAAAGGGGAGCAGUCUUGGCAUAGGAUGGGAAUGGAGCAGUUGAACUCGCCCACCCCGACCUUGUGCCAUAGAAAAAAUGAAAAGUUGCUUCUGUCUGAGAAAAAAAAGAAAAAAACAUAUAUCCCUGCUGAAGAAAGUCGGGUCCAAUUAUUAAGAUGGCAUUAAUACAGUCUCCCAGGUAACUCCGAAUGCUGAAGAAAAGCAGAGCCUCUGAACUUCAGCCCUUCACUGAUAUGAAGGAGUGAAUUUCUUUUAUUAACAAUCAGAACAGCUGUGCUACCCUGAGACAAUGCAAGUCUUCCCCAUGAAGGAAGUGUUUUCAGUCUGGCACAUAUUUUAUUGAAAUACAGUGCUCUUUCAGAAAGAAACCAUUGUAACUACCGAAGUUCUGAAAAACAUUUGCGGAAAUGUUUGUGAAGUCUCAACGGACUAGAGGCAAAAUUGGUUUGGGGAAAUGACAAAUGACCAUUAAUCCAGGAAACUCUGGCCCUUUAAUGAAAUGACUUAAAGGGCAACGCAGGAAAAAUGAUCAAAGGCAGAUCCUUUCUUAGUAACUACAAAUGUGGAGAAAAGAUAAGAGCGAACAAGUGUCUGAUUGCCUCUUACAACGAGAUUAUUACUCUCUGUGAUCAUUAGAUAUGAAUGAGGUCCUUUAAUCACUGUAGCUAGGUCUGGUCAUUGCCCAUUGGGCAAAUUCUAACUGAGUUGUUAGUGUAAUUUCUUUAAUAUUAAUAGAGGUAUUCCCUCUCUCACCAAAUAACUUAUGAUCUGUUUGGACUCAUGGUCUUGGCAGAGCAAUGGGAUGAUUUUGUUUGAGUUUUUGGCCAUUUCCUGUGGCUAGUGAGUGAACACUGAUGCCCUUGCCGCUUUGAAGUUUUUGGCAAAGCAGUUUACCUAUAUGCAAAGUUCAUCCUUUAUCCCUUAUUUUCCUUAUCUGUACAGAUAAUAGCCAUAAAAUAACAUAUUAAACUUGAAUCCUGAGACAUGCUUACAUCCCAGUGGUCAGGCCCAAGUUUGGUGCAUAUAGUCACAGUUUAUAUGUGACUUAUAUGAGUUAUGGAAUUACCUAUUUCUCUUAUAUUAUGUUCCUCUUUCACUUAAAAAAAAAAAAAAAAAAAGUAAUAAUCAACAUGCAAAUAAGUUCAUUAUUUCCUCCCAAGUUUGCAGACAAUCUGAAACCAUAAUUCUGAAAGUGGAAAAUUCCCUCUGUGUUUCUGAUACCAUCUCAACACAAUAAUGUCAAUAUAUUGGAGGAGGACAAGGAGAAAAGGGAGUUUCCUAUAUUUAGCACUCAAGAUGGAAAUACUCCUCUGGGCAAGUAAGAGAACAUACUGAAGGCAGUGGAAAUAAAGCUGAUACUGAAGUGGCA
This 2497-nucleotide long non-coding RNA is filed under the name Anas platyrhynchos platyrhynchos (common mallard). Its description in RNAcentral is "lncRNA (ENSAPLG00000028242.1)". Lineage: Eukaryota; Metazoa; Chordata; Aves; Anseriformes; Anatidae. The record is from RNAcentral.